ACGGAAGGUCCAGGCGUUAUCCGGAUUUAUUGGGUUUAAAGGGAGCGUAGGCCGUCUGUUAAGCGUGUUGUGAAAUGUAGAUGCUCAACAUCUGAAUUGCAGCGCGAACUGGCAGACUUGAGUGUGCGCAACGUAGGCGGAAUUCGUGGUGUAGCGGUGAAAUGCUUAGAUAUCACGAAGAACUCCGAUUGCGAAGGCAGCUUACGGGAGCACAACUGACGCUGAAGCUCGAAAGUGCGGGUAUCGAACAG
Molecule: ribosomal RNA, 251 nt
Filed under: uncultured prokaryote
Description: partial 16S rRNA
Rfam family: Bacterial small subunit ribosomal RNA
Source: RNAcentral